This 202-nucleotide long non-coding RNA is filed under the name Sus scrofa (pig). RNAcentral's name for it is "lncRNA (ENSSSCG00055030729.1)". The record is from RNAcentral. Lineage: Eukaryota; Metazoa; Chordata; Mammalia; Artiodactyla; Suidae.
CUGUGACAGUGUCCCCGUGUCCUCUCUAACCUGUGUCCUGAGUCCCUGUGACAGUGUCCCCGUUCCUCUCUAACCUGGGUCUUGAGUCCCUGUGAGGGUUUCCCCGUGUCCUCCCUAACCUGUGUCCUGAGUCCCUGUUACACUGUCCCUGUGUCCUCUCUAACCUGUGUCCUGAGUCCCUGUGACACUGUCCCCGUGUCUU